AUCGCUUCUUGGCCUUUUGGCUAAGAUCAAGUGUAGUAUCUGUUCUUAUCAGUGUAAUAUCUGAUACAUCCUUUACUGAAGGAGCUUAUACUAAAUGGAUUUUUGAAGAUGAGAGAUGGAAUUAGGAGCUUGCUCCAUCUACUCUGAGCAUCGACUGGGUAUUGCAGUACUUUUGGGAACAGUACAAGAGAA
This is a small nuclear RNA of Artibeus jamaicensis (Jamaican fruit-eating bat), 192 nucleotides long. RefSeq annotates it as U2 spliceosomal RNA. The transcript has a single exon. Lineage: Eukaryota; Metazoa; Chordata; Mammalia; Chiroptera; Phyllostomidae. The record is from RefSeq and is a predicted model, not a curated record.